AAACUCAAAGGAAUUGACGGGGACCCGCACAAGCGGUGGAGCAUGUGGUUUAAUUCGAAGCAACGCGAAGAACCUUACCAAGUCUUGACAUCGGAAUGACCGUCCGUAACGGGGCUUCCCUACGGGGCAUUCCAGACAGGUGGUGCAUGGUUGUCGUCAGCUCGUGUCGUGAGAUGUUGGGUUAAGUCCCGCAACGAGCGCAACCCUUAUCCUUAGUAGCCAGCAGUUCGGCUGGGCACUCUGGGGAGACUGCCAGGGAUAACCUGGAGGAAGGUGGGGAUGACGUCAAAUCAUCAUGCCCCUUAUGAUUUGGGCUACACACGUGCUACAAUGGCGUAAACAAAGGGAAGCGAGGGAGUGAUCCGGAGCAAAUCUCAAAAAUAACGUCUCAGUUCGGAUUGUAGUCUGCAACUCGACUACAUGAAGCUGGAAUCGCUAGUAAUCGCGGAUCAGAAUGCCGCGGUGAAUACGUUCCCGGGUCUUGUACACACCGCCCGUCACACCAUGGGAGUUGGUAACGCCCGAAGUCAGUGACCCAACCGUAAGGAGGGAGCUGCCGAAGGCGGGACUGAUAACUGGGGUGAAGUCGUAACAAGGUAGCCGUAUCGGAAGGUGCGGCUGGAUCACCUCCUUUAUG
Molecule: ribosomal RNA, 637 nt
Filed under: uncultured Lachnospiraceae bacterium
Lineage: Bacteria; Bacillati; Bacillota; Clostridia; Lachnospirales; Lachnospiraceae
Description: bacterial SSU rRNA
Rfam family: Bacterial small subunit ribosomal RNA
Source: RNAcentral